Non-coding RNA from Thalictrum thalictroides, 75 nucleotides. NCBI's taxonomy places the organism in Eukaryota, Viridiplantae, Streptophyta, Magnoliopsida, Ranunculales, Ranunculaceae. The record is from the annotation of a GenBank genome assembly.
GGAUCUUUAGCUCAAAUGGUAGAGCACUUGAGAUUAAGAGUCUCAGAGAUGGUGGUUCAAAUCCAUCAAGAUCUU